AACAGGAUUAGAUACCCGGGUAGUCCAUGCCGUAAACGAUGAGUGCUAAGUGUUGGAGGGUUUCCGCCCUUCAGUGCUGCAGCUAACGCAUUAAGCACUCCGCCUGGGGAGUACGACCGCAAGGUUGAAACUCAAAGGAAUUGACGGGGGCCCGCACAAGCGGUGGAGCAUGUGGUUUAAUUCGAAGCAACGCGAAGAACCUUACCAGGUCUUGACAUCUUCUGCCAGGCUGAGAGAUCAGCUGUUCCCUUCGGGGACAGAAUGACAGGUGGUGCAUGGUUGUCGUCAGCUCGUGUCGUGAGAUGUUGGGUUAAGUCCCGCAACGAGCGCAACCCUUAUGUUCAGUUGCCAGCAUUCAGUUGGGCACUCUG
Molecule: ribosomal RNA, 371 nt
Filed under: uncultured Lactobacillaceae bacterium
Lineage: Bacteria; Bacillati; Bacillota; Bacilli; Lactobacillales; Lactobacillaceae
Description: bacterial SSU rRNA
Rfam family: Bacterial small subunit ribosomal RNA
Source: RNAcentral